GUGGGGAAUAUUGCACAAUGGGGGAAACCCUGAUGCAGCGACGCCGCGUGAAGGAAGAAGUAUUUCGGUAUGUAAACUUCUAUCAGCAGGGAAGAAAAUGACGGUACCUGACUAAGAAGCCCCGGCUAACUACGUGCCAGCAGCCGCGGUAAUACGUAGGGGGCAAGCGUUAUCCGGAUUUACUGGGUGUAAAGGGAGCGUAGGCGGUUUAGCAAGUCAGAAGUGAAAGCCCGGGGCUCAACUCCGGGACUGCUUUUGAAACUGUUGAACUAGAUUGCAGGAGAGGUAAGUGGAAUUCCUAGUGUAGCGGUGAAAUGCGUAGAUAUUAGGAGGAACACCAGUGGCGAAGGCGGCUUACUGGACUGUAAAUGACGCUGAGGCUCGAAAGCGUGGGGAGCAAACAGG
This 405-nucleotide ribosomal RNA is filed under the name uncultured bacterium. RNAcentral describes it as "bacterial SSU rRNA". It matches the Rfam family "Bacterial small subunit ribosomal RNA", at positions 354 to 776 of the family's 1533-position model. The record is from RNAcentral.